This is a long non-coding RNA of Talpa occidentalis (Iberian mole), 291 nucleotides long. RefSeq lists it as uncharacterized. The record is from RefSeq and is a predicted model, not a curated record. Lineage: Eukaryota; Metazoa; Chordata; Mammalia; Eulipotyphla; Talpidae. The transcript has 3 exons.
CAGAGAGGAGACUGAAGCGAGCCCUGCUGGACAAGGAAUCUGUGGCGACUGUAUCUUGGACUUUCCAGACUCUCCGGAACUUUUUGGAUCAGAAGACCUAAAAUCAAGGUAUCAGCUGGGUUAUGCGCCUUCUGGAUUCUUUAGGAGAAAAUCCUUUCCUUUUGGAGACCAUGUACAUUCUUGGAAGAGAGGCAGAGACCUGAAUGGCAGUGGCAGAGACUGAUCAACAAAAGGAGCUGAGACAAGAGAAAAUAGCAAAUACCCAUUUGAAGAAAAUUACAGAAAAAGACA